GUGAGGAAUUUUCCGCAAUGGGCGAAAGCCUGACGGAGCAAUGCCGCGUGAAGGAUGAAGGCCUAUGGGUUGUAAACUUCUUUUCUCAGAAAAGAAUUAUGACGGUAUCUGAGGAAUAAGCAUCGGCUAACUCUGUGCCAGCAGCCGCGGUAAGACAGAGGAUGCAAGCGUUAUCCGGAAUGAUUGGGCGUAAAGCGUCUGUAGGUUGUUUAAAAUGUAUUCUGUCAAAGAUUAGGGCUUAACCCUAGAUAGGCAGAAUAAACUUUUAAGCUAGAGUUUGGUAGAGGCAGAGGGAAUUCCCGGUGGAGCGGUGAAAUGCGUAGAUAUCGGGAGGAACACCAAAGGCGAAGGCACUCUGCUGGGCCAAUACUAACACUGAGAGACGAAAGCGAGGGGAGCAAAUGGGAUUAGAAACCCGGGUAGUCC
Molecule: ribosomal RNA, 426 nt
Filed under: uncultured bacterium
Lineage: Bacteria
Description: bacterial SSU rRNA
Rfam family: Bacterial small subunit ribosomal RNA
Source: RNAcentral